This 619-nucleotide ribosomal RNA is filed under the name uncultured bacterium. RNAcentral's name for it is "bacterial SSU rRNA". The stretch from base 1 to 519 matches the Rfam family "Bacterial small subunit ribosomal RNA", at positions 338 to 873 of the family's 1533-position model. The record is from RNAcentral.
CCUACGGGAGGCAGCAGUGGGGAAUAUUGGACAAUGGGCGAAAGCCUGAUCCAGCAAUGCCGCGUGAGUGAUGAAGGCCUUAGGGUUGUAAAGCUCUUUUACCAGGGAUGAUAAUGACAGUACCUGGAGAAUAAGCUCCGGCUAACUCCGUGCCAGCAGCCGCGGUAAUACGGAGGGAGCUAGCGUUGUUCGGAAUUACUGGGCGUAAAGCGUACGUAGGCGGUUAUUCAAGUCAGAGGUGAAAGCCUGGAGCUCAACUCCAGAACUGCCUUUGAAACUAGAUAGCUAGAAUCUUGGAGAGGUGAGUGGAAUUCCGAGUGUAGAGGUGAAAUUCGUAGAUAUUCGGAAGAACACCAGUGGCGAAGGCGACUCACUGGACAAGUAUUGACGCUGAGGUACGAAAGCGUGGGGAGCAAACAGGAUUAGAUACCCUGGUAGUCCACGCCGUAAACGAUGAUAACUAGCUGUUCGGGCUCUACGAGCUUGAGUGGCGCNGCUACGACAUUAAGUUAGUCCGUCCGUCGGGUAGGUACGGUCGGCGAAGAAGUUAAACGUUAACGUAAAGGUUAAAGUUAGUACGGCGUUGAGACGNGCCGACGGACGACGACGAGGGAGGAGG